Molecule: non-coding RNA, 140 nt
Organism: Podarcis lilfordi (Lilford's wall lizard)
Lineage: Eukaryota; Metazoa; Chordata; Lepidosauria; Squamata; Lacertidae
Source: the annotation of a GenBank genome assembly
GUGCCUUUUCUUUUCUUUCUUUCUCUCUUUCUCUCUCUCUCUCUCACCCUCAGCUCUUUUGCUUUUCCUGGGUCUUGUGAGAGAAGGAGGGGGGUGGAGGGAGAGAGAGAGAGAGAGAGAGAGAAAGGCUGGCUUGGCUU